This 464-nucleotide ribosomal RNA is filed under the name uncultured bacterium. RNAcentral's name for it is "partial 16S ribosomal RNA". It matches the Rfam family "Bacterial small subunit ribosomal RNA", at positions 338 to 795 of the family's 1533-position model. The record is from RNAcentral.
CCUACGGGAGGCUACAGUGGGGAAUUUUGCGCAAUGCUCGUAAGAGUGACGCAGCGACGCCGCGUGAAUGACGAAGGCCUUCGGGUCGUAAAGUUCUUUCGACAGGGAAGAAAAUGCCUAUAAGUAACUGUGUAUGUAUUGACGGUACCUAUAUAAGCAGCCCCGGCUAACUCCGUGCCAGCAGCCGCGGUAAUACGGAGGGGGCGAGCGUUGUUCGGAGUGACUGGGCGUAAAGAGCACGUAGGCGGUGUUGUAAGUCAUUAGUCAAAGACUAGAGCUCAACUUUAGUAAGGCUAGUGAUACUAUAAUACGAGAGUAUCAGAGAGGAUUGCAGAAUUCCUGGUGUAGCGGUGAAAUGCGUAGAUAUCAGGAGGAAUACCGUUAGCGAAGGCGGCAAUCUGGCUGGAAACUGACGCUGAGGUGCGAAAGCGUGGGUAGCAAACAGGAUUAGAUACCCCAUAGUC